This 328-nucleotide unclassified non-coding RNA is filed under the name soil metagenome. RNAcentral describes it as "partial contains 5.8S ribosomal RNA, internal transcribed spacer 2, and large subunit ribosomal RNA". The stretch from base 1 to 119 matches the Rfam family "5.8S ribosomal RNA", at positions 35 to 154 of the family's 154-position model. The record is from RNAcentral.
GAUGAAGAACGUAGCGAAAUGCGAUAAGUAAUGCGAAUUGCAGAAUCCGUGAGUCAUCGAAUCUUUGAACGCACAUUGCGCCCGUUGGCAUUCCAACGGGCAUGCCUGUUCGAGCGUCAUUGGCUUCUCCAGCGCUGCUGGGUGCUGGGCGAGUGGGGUGCCGCGCGUGCCCCUCGCCUCAAAUGCAUUGGCCGCCCGCCGUCCCGGGAAGGAGCGCAGCACAGUCCGCGCGCCUCGCCGGGGGGCGGUGUCCACAAGUGGCUUCUACGCUUGACCUCGGAUCAGGUAGGGAUACCCGCUGAACUUAAGCAUAUCAAUAAGCGGAGGA